CACUUCUCCUUGGCUUCGGUCGCACAUUUCAAAUGCUCUCAGUGCACGGCACUUCAUAGUGCAAUUGUGACUUCGAGAAAAAAAGCGACUAAAAUGUUUCGAUCCUUUGAUUUUAGUUACAUUUUGAUUUAAAAGUCAUUCAGACUGCAGUAAUUUCGAAUCAAAAUGAUUACUGAAACAAGAGGAGGAGACUUGUCAAUUCAACGUACGGAGGGACAGCCGAUACAUUGGAUAAUGUAUCUACUGAAAUGUGAACGGGGGAGGAUUUCAUCUCACUUUGAAGUUCCAGUCUUAAACAGCCGAUCAUCACAUCACCUAAAAUGAUAUUCCUCAGUGAACGAGUUUUUCUUUUUUUUUCUCAUCACUUUGGUGUAAAAUCAUUUCCGUCGCAGUCAUUUUUGUGUAAAAUCUCUCAAGUUAUACACUUUAAAGCAUAAUUUGUGCAUCAGUUUUUGAAUGUAAAUUGCUCUGAUUUUUCUCGGUUCUUUUCAUUCUUUCAAUUUGAUUUUUUCGAGAUAUUUCUGGGACACUUUUCGGGGUGAUUUCUGAAACUCGGGUUCCUAUUUUCA
Long non-coding RNA from Sitodiplosis mosellana (orange wheat blossom midge), 569 nucleotides. RefSeq lists it as uncharacterized. The record is from RefSeq and is a predicted model, not a curated record. The transcript is spliced from 2 exons. Lineage: Eukaryota; Metazoa; Arthropoda; Insecta; Diptera; Cecidomyiidae.